This is a non-coding RNA of Pelobates cultripes (western spadefoot toad), 205 nucleotides long. NCBI's taxonomy places the organism in Eukaryota, Metazoa, Chordata, Amphibia, Anura, Pelobatidae. The record is from the annotation of a GenBank genome assembly.
UGUGUGUGAGUGUGUGUGUGUGUGUGUGUGUGUGUAUGCCAGUGUAUGCCAGUGUAUGUGUGUGUGUAUGCCAGUGUAUGUGUGUAUGCCAGUGUCUGCCAGUGUAUGUGUGUGUGUAUGCCAGUGUAUGUGUGUGUGUAUGCCAGUGUAUGUGUGUAUGCCAGUGUCUGCCAGUGUAUGUGUGUGUGUAUGCCAGUGUGUAUGC